ACCAUGGAAUGAUGGAGUCCCUGAACGGUUGGGCUUGCAAGGGAGCCUGAAGAACAACAUCUUGUUCCCAGCUGAGCAGUCUUCCCCCAGAGCGUGCUGCUCAGAGCCCUGUUGCCAAGGAUGGGGCAUGCACAGCCUCUGUGCACAGCCUGGGCCAGUGCCCCACCACCCCCAGUGGAAAAGAGCAGCUUCCUUAGAUGCAGCUUCAAUCAACCUGCUGCACUUGAAAGCCAUCCCCCCUUGUCCUGUCAGCACAGGCCCUGCUGAACACUCUGUCCCCUUCUUUCCUGCGGGACCCUUCCAGUCCUGCAGAGCCACAGUUUUUCUGUUUGAAAGGAAGCUUGGCACAAUGUCCAUUGUCUUCUCCAUUUGUGAAACACUAAGUGGAGUGUGGGCAGGCUGAUACGCAGAGCAAAAUCUGAAAAUAUAGUAGUGAUCCUGAGCCUGGGGGAUGCAGCUAAACCCAGCCAAAAGGAAUUUCUGGAAAGCUGAUCCUGGUUUACAUUGUCUUGAGUUUGGCUUUGCCAACUUCACCAGUCAUUUAUGAAAAAGCAAACAAAAAACUCAAACCAAAUCAGACAAAAACCCAAACAAAUAAAGAAACAAACAAACCCAUGGGGCGGCAGGUUCCCCCUGGAGCUCCGUUGAAUCCCACUUGUCAAUUGUUUUGGUGCAAUAUAAAACACAUGCAGCGCACACGGGUCCCAGGGAAACUUUAUUUGAUGGUAAACUUCCCCUUUUCCUCUCCUGGGACCCCGAUCAAGGGGCAAACAAAGACUUAAAUGUGGGGGGAGGUCAGGGGUAGGCACAACUUUCAACAAAUCAGGAGAGUUGGGAGUAAAAAUCCUAGGCAGGGAUAACAGCAGUGAACCAAUAACAUUCCAAAGGAGGAAAAGCGGUUUCAAUAAGCGGCUAAAAUUUGGAGAAAUAGAAACUGGAAACUAGUUGACGAAAUAACUGGGAAAAGGCGGAGACAAAAGGAAAACAGCACCAAGGAAAACCACCAAAUCACAAAUCAAACCAUAAACCUACUAAUAAACCAAAAAGCACAAUACAACAUCUGCCCGUUCUUAAAUACAAAAAGGGCAUUAAAGUUUAUCUAAAAGAACAAAAGGUAUUAGUGUAAUAAAUCAUAAAAUUUUACAAACGUAAAAUAAAACUAAUUAUAAUUUAAAAAUUUUUCAAAAACUCAAAUAAUUUUGGAUAUGUCUAAUUUAGCUUGUACUUGUCUUGUUUUUCACUGAUUAUGCACUUUAACUAUAAUUUUAUUCAUUUCUUCAAUUCACUGCGAAAUAAUAUCUUAAUUUUUGAAUAAUUAGCUGGUAAAAAUUGGGCUCAAAAGGUAAUUAAAAAAUUGUUUUAAAUUGUCAAACAAAAACUCAAAAGUGGCAAACUUAAAAAGAAUUUAACAUUUCAUAGAAAGCUUACCAUUUCAUAAAAGGAUGUUCCAUAGAAAGAUGUUUCAUAGUUUCCAGGAGUUAAAUGUGUAAAACAAACAAAUUUAUUUCAUGUUAAAUAAAUAUAAAUUUUCUUUUCA
Molecule: long non-coding RNA, 1537 nt
Organism: Passer domesticus (house sparrow)
Lineage: Eukaryota; Metazoa; Chordata; Aves; Passeriformes; Passeridae
Exons: 2
Source: RefSeq, a predicted model, not a curated record